GACAGAGGGUGCAAACGUUGCUCGGAAUUACUGGGCGUAAAGCGCGUGUAGGCUGACCGGAAAGUCGGGCGUGAAAGCCCUGGGCUCAACCCAGGAACUGCACUCGAAACUCCCGGUCUAGAGUGGUGGAGAGGGAAGUGGAAUUCCUGGUGUAGAGGUGAAAUUCGUAGAUAUCAGGAGGAACACCGGUGGCGAAGGCGGCAUCCUGGACCGGUAUUGACGCUGAUGCGCGAAAGCCAGGGGAGCAAACGGG
RNAcentral lists this ribosomal RNA (253 nucleotides) under uncultured bacterium. Its description in RNAcentral is "partial 16S ribosomal RNA". It matches the Rfam family "Bacterial small subunit ribosomal RNA", at positions 524 to 776 of the family's 1533-position model. The record is from RNAcentral.